UACGUCCCCUCAUUCGGGUAGCGCCAGCUGUAAAUGCUUCAUGAUCUCAUUGAUUAGUUUGGAACAAAUAGCUUUUUAGAGUAUUAAAUGUUUUUGAAUAUCGUUUAAUUACGUCGACUUAGGUAAUUGAAAAAAAUCUUUUCGAAAAUUCGUAUUAAUUUCUUAUUAUGAGGAAUACAAGCAGAACCCAUUGUUACUCAAAAUAUAUUUUUUAAAACGGUUAUCAAUUAUUAAGUUAAAUAUUAGUAAGCAUUUGUUGACGAUGGACCAUUGUAAAGAUUUUAUUAAAGCCGAAUUCCCUUCAAUUGAUAUAGAAAUGUUUCAAUACAUUGAAGGUGUUUUAGAAAAUGGAAUUGAAGACUUCCAUGAUUCUGAAGAUAUAUAUGAAGCAAUUGGUGAAGUAUUGCAGGAAAUUGCAAAUAAGUCUGAAUCGGACAUCAGAGGGAUCUGUUCAAAAUUAUUGCAUUUUAUGCGUCCUCAUUCUAAUGACAAUGUAUCAAGAAAUGGUCUAACUAAAAUUUUAGAUGCUCCAGUGCAUUUAGCAUCAAUGGCAGCAGAUCUAGAAGAUAAUGAUAUGGAAAUUAAAAGUAUCUGGGUGAAUUCGAGAGAUGAUAGUUUAAAAGUAGAUAAAAAAAAACUAGACAAAGCUCAAGCAAAAUUGCAACAAAAACAGGAUAAACGGACUGAGCAAGUUCUUAAAGGUGUAGGAACUAUGAGUGUAUCAAAUAAUAAAAUGGAUGGUGCAACUGCUUCUCAAGUAACAAGUAAAAAGGAAGCUAAAAUGGAAGCUAAAGGAAAUAAUCGAGCUCAGGAUAUAAGGAUAGAAAAUUUCGAUGUUGCAUAUGGAGAGAGAAUAUUACUCCAGAAUACUGAUGUAACUUUAGCUUAUGGUAGAAGAUAUGGUUUAGUUGGAAGAAAUGGACUUGGUAAAACUACAUUGUUAAGAAUGAUAUCGGGAGGUCAGUUACGAAUUCCAUCUCACAUAUCUAUACUACAUGUUGAACAAGAAGUAGUUGGUGAUGAUACACCUGCUUUAGAAUCUGUAUUACAGUGUGAUUUUGUUCGACAUGGUCUGUUAACUAGAGAAAAAGAAGUUAACACAUUGAUUGCUAAUGGUUCGCCAUAUAGUGCUGAAUUAUCAUCUGAAUUAAGUGAAAUAUAUAUGCAAUUGAGUGCCAUAGAAGCUGAUAAGGCUCCUGCUCGAGCCAGUGUCAUUCUUGAUGGUUUGGGUUUCAAUCCAGAUAUGCAAAAAAAAGCCACUAAACAUUUUUCAGGUGGAUGGCGUAUGCGUUUAGCCUUAGCUAGAGCACUUUUUUCUAAACCAGAUUUGUUACUACUUGAUGAACCUACUAACAUGUUGGAUAUGAAAGCAAUUAUAUGGUUAGAAAACUAUUUGCAAACUUGGCAAAGUACAUUGCUUGUAGUAUCUCAUGACCGUCAUUUCUUAGAUUCUGUACCUACUGACAUAUUACAUCUUCAUACUCAGCGAAUUGAUACUUAUAGAGGUAAUUAUGAAAUUUUUGAAAAAACUAAAAAUGAGAAGCUUAAAAAUCAACAACGAGAAAUUGAAGCACAAAUGGCUCAUAGAGCUCACGUACAAGAGUUUAUUGAUAGAUUUAGGUAUAAUGCUAAUCGUGCUUCUAGUGUUCAGAGUAAAAUUAAAAUGCUUGAAAAACUACCAGAAUUAAAACCUAUCGAGAAAGAAGUAGAAGUUGUUUUACGUUUUCCUGAAACAGAAGGAUUGUCACCUCCUAUUUUACAACUUAAUGACAUUUCAUUUGCAUAUCCUGGUUGUGCUAAUGUUUUACAAAAUGUUAAUCUUGGAGCAACGUUAGAAUCUAGAAUAUGUAUUGUAGGUGAUAAUGGAGCUGGUAAGACAACACUAUUGAAAAUUAUUAUGGGUAUAUUAAAUCCUACUUUUGGGGUCAGAAAUGUGCAUAGAAAUUUGAAAUUUGGAUAUUUCAGUCAGCAUCAUGUAGACCAAUUAGAAAUGAACCUUUCUUCUGUAGAGCUAUUACAAUCAUCUUUCCCUGGCAAAACUGUAGAAGAAUAUAGACGUCAAUUAGGAGGAUUUGGUAUAUCAGGUGAUUUAGCAUUACAGAGUGUUGGUAGCCUAUCUGGAGGUCAGAAAUCAAGAGUAGCAUUUGCUAGAAUGUGCAUGUCAAAUCCAAAUUUCUUAGUACUUGAUGAACCUACCAAUCAUUUGGAUAUUGAAACAAUCGAAGCUUUAGGGAAAGCAUUACAAAAAUACACCGGUGGUUUAAUACUUGUCUCUCACGACGAACGUUUAAUUCGUAUGGUUUGUAAAGAGCUAUGGGUUUGUGGUGGUGGAAAUGUUAAAAGCAUUGAAGGCGGCUUCAACGAAUAUAGAACCAUUGUGGAACGGGAACUUGCGGAAGCUGCUAAGUAGACAAAUUUUUGUAUCUACAAUAUUAUUAUUUAUUUAUAUACAUUUUUCACUUGUUUUUUUUUUAAUGCCAUUUAAGAGAAAUUUAAUGAAAAGUGAAAACAUAAACUUUGUUAUAAAUAUCGUUUGUAACGGUUUAAAUAACAUAAAAGUAACCUUAACUUUGUAAACUUAACUAUGUUAAACAUAUAAGAUUGAAGAAACUCACAUCUUAGUGAUCAUCAGAGUUAAAAUUAAGAAGCCAGGAACAAUGUAUUGUUUUUAUUUCAAAAACUGUUUGGUUGAAAAUAAAUUAUUGUGCCAAUA
RNAcentral lists this unclassified non-coding RNA (2713 nucleotides) under Sipha flava (yellow sugarcane aphid). RNAcentral's name for it is "aTP-binding cassette sub-family F member 3, transcript variant X1". The record is from RNAcentral. Lineage: Eukaryota; Metazoa; Arthropoda; Insecta; Hemiptera; Aphididae.